GGGGAGAGACUUAGAAUCCCCGUGAACCGUGUGUAAAUAGCGGUGUCUUUGGCCGGGCGCUGCGGUUUGUGAAUC
Molecule: non-coding RNA, 75 nt
Submitted as: unclassified sequences
Source: Rfam